Molecule: ribosomal RNA, 373 nt
Filed under: uncultured organism
Description: partial 16S ribosomal RNA
Rfam family: Bacterial small subunit ribosomal RNA
Source: RNAcentral
GGAGGGUGCGAGCGUUAAUCGGAAUUACUGGGCGUAAAGCGCGCGUAGGCGGUUUGGUUAGUCAGAUGUGAAAGCCCCGGGCUUAACCUGGGGAUUGCAUUUGAUACUGCCGGACUCGAGUAUGGUAGAGGGAAGUGGAAUUCCACAUGUAGCGGUGAAAUGCGUAGAUAUGUGGAGGAACACCAGUGGCGAAGGCGGCUUCCUGGACCAAUACUGACGCUGAGGUGCGAAAGCGUGGGGAGCAAACAGGGAUUAGAUACCCUGGUAGUCCACGCCGUAAACGAUGUCAACUAGCCCGUUGGGGGGGGUUGCCCCUUAGUGGCGCAGCUAACGCGAUAAGUUGACCGCCUGGGGGAGUACGGUCGCAAGAUUA